This is an RNA transcript of Drosophila obscura, 980 nucleotides long. It is a transcript of the gene named N-alpha-acetyltransferase 20, with no coding region annotated. The transcript is spliced from 6 exons. Lineage: Eukaryota; Metazoa; Arthropoda; Insecta; Diptera; Drosophilidae. The record is from RefSeq and is a predicted model, not a curated record.
UUCGCUUCUCUACCAGAUGGUGCUCUGAAAAAACUAGAUAGGUAUACGGCGAGAAAUCACUUAAAUUAGUAAGAAUGACUACGCUGAGACCCUUCACCUGCGACGAUCUUUUUAAAUUUAACAAUGUGAAUUUUGACCCACUUACGGAAACCUACGGACUGUCGUUCUAUACGCAGUACCUGGCGAAGUGGCCGGAGUACUUUCAGCUGGCCGAAUCCCCCAGUGGACAAAUAAUGGGCUAUAUUAUGGGAAAAGUGGAGGGACACCUCGACAACUGGCACGGACAUGUGACGGCCCUAACUGUGUCGCCCGACUACAGACGGCUCGGAUUAGCUGCACUACUGAUGAGCUUCUUGGAAGACAUAUCGGAAAAGAAGCGGGCGUACUUUGUGGAUCUGUUUGUACGCAAGAGCAACCAGGUGGCCAUUAAUAUGUACAAAAACCUUGGCUACAUCAUUUACCGCACUAUACUCGAAUAUUACUCGGGCGAUCAGGACGAGGAUGCGUAUGAUAUGCGAAAGGCCUUGUCGAGGGAUGUCAACAAAAAAUCGGUGAUACCGUACACGCAACCUGUACGAUUGGAAGAUAUUGAUAUGAAUUGAUCCGUUAAUUAGUAUUAAGAUAAAAUUCGUAAAUAAUCUAAGAGUUUUGGUCUGUUAGUCUGGUGGUAACAAGAAAUUUUAUCCCAUUGACUGCUUGCCAACCGAACCUACAAUGAGAUCCCCCAAAAAACCCAACUCAGUUACAUUUGAUUAAUACCUCCAGUCUAUCAAAGACAUUGACACUUCUAUAAUUUUAUUGAAUUUUAAAUUAUUUAAAGAUUUCUUAAGCCGAUGCGUAAAUAACCGUAUUUGAAUAGAAUGUUCAACACGUCUAAAGAUCACAAUGCGCGAACUGCGCCAUCAAACCACUCACUAAAACUAGCAGCAAUACACAUUAGUAUAUUCACUCAAAUACAUAAAUAAAUAAAUAUGUAAAAA